RNAcentral lists this ribosomal RNA (468 nucleotides) under uncultured bacterium. RNAcentral describes it as "bacterial SSU rRNA". It matches the Rfam family "Bacterial small subunit ribosomal RNA", at positions 330 to 794 of the family's 1533-position model. The record is from RNAcentral.
CCCAGACUCCUACGGGAGGCAGCAGUGAGGAAUAUUGGUCAAUGGGCGGAAGCCUGAACCAGCCAAGUCGCGUGAGGGAAGAAGGCCCUGCGGGUCGCAGACCUCUUUGGACGGGGAGCAAGGCCGCCGACGUGUCGGCGGAAGGAGAGUACCCGUAGAACAAGCAUCGGCUAACUCCGUGCCAGCAGCCGCGGUAAUACGGAGGAUGCGAGCGUUAUCCGGAUUUACUGGGUGUAAAGGGAGCGUAGACGGCAGCGCAAGUCUGAAGUGAAAUCCCAUGGCUUAACCAUGGAACUGCUUUGGAAACUGUGCAGCUGGAGUGCAGGAGAGGUAAGCGGAAUUCCUAGUGUAGCGGUGAAAUGCGUAGAUAUUAGGAGGAACACCAGUGGCGAAGGCGGCUUACUGGACUGUAACUGACGUUGAGGCUCGAAAGCGUGGGGAGCAAACAGGAUUAGAUACCCUGGUACU